Molecule: ribosomal RNA, 275 nt
Filed under: uncultured Lachnospiraceae bacterium
Lineage: Bacteria; Bacillati; Bacillota; Clostridia; Lachnospirales; Lachnospiraceae
Description: partial 16S ribosomal RNA
Rfam family: Bacterial small subunit ribosomal RNA
Source: RNAcentral
UGCGAUUUCGGUCAAAUCUUGAAGCAUUUUAGUGGCGGACGGGUGAGUAACGCGUGGGUAACCUGCCCUGUACAGGGGGACAACAGUUGGAAACGACUGCUAAUACCGCAUAAGCGCACAGCUUCGCAUGAAGCAGUGUGAAAAACUCCGGUGGUACAGGAUGGACCCGCGUCUGAUUAGAUAGUUGGUGAGGUAACGGCCCACCAAGUCAACGAUCAGUAGCCGGCCUGAGAGGGCGAACGGCCACAUUGGGACUGAGACACGGCCCAAACUCC